GAUGAACGCUGGCGGCGUGCCUAAUACAUGCAAGUAGGACGCAGUUGCGAACGGGUGAGUAACGCGUAGGUAACUACCUAUUAGAGGGGGAUAACUAUUGGAAACGAUAGCUAAUACCGCAUACUAGUAGAUGGACCUGCGUUGUAUUAGCUAGUAGGUAGGGUAAUGGCCUACCUAGGCAACGAUACAUAGCAGGCCUAGGAUGGGGUUCCGGCAAACUGGGCCUGUGGCACGGGCCAGACUCCUACGGGAGGCAGCAGUAGGGAAUCUGCGGCAAUGGGGGGCACCCUGACCGAGCAACGCCGCGGGAGUUAAGAAGGUUUUCGGAUCGUAAAGCUCUGUUGUUAAGGUAGCGGUACUUAACCAGAAAGGGACGGCUAACUACGUGCCAGCAGCCGCGGUAAUAC
Molecule: ribosomal RNA, 407 nt
Filed under: uncultured bacterium
Lineage: Bacteria
Description: partial 16S ribosomal RNA
Rfam family: Bacterial small subunit ribosomal RNA
Source: RNAcentral